GGUGGUUCUCAGGUGACACAAACCGGAAUCGGGCUCUCUCCUCUCUGGUUCCGGGGUGUGUCACCCAAGAACCGCU
Molecule: non-coding RNA, 76 nt
Organism: Myotis davidii
Lineage: Eukaryota; Metazoa; Chordata; Mammalia; Chiroptera; Vespertilionidae
Source: Rfam